RNAcentral lists this ribosomal RNA (253 nucleotides) under uncultured bacterium. RNAcentral describes it as "partial 16S ribosomal RNA". It matches the Rfam family "Bacterial small subunit ribosomal RNA", at positions 524 to 776 of the family's 1533-position model. The record is from RNAcentral.
UACGUAGGGGGCAAGCGUUGUCCGGAAUCAUUGGGCGUAAAGCGCGUGUAGGCGGUCCGAUAAGUUCGCUGUGAAAGUCGGGGGCUUAACCCUCGGAUGCCGGUGAAUACUGCCGGGCUUGAGUGUGGGAGAGGUGAGUGGAAUUCCUGGUGUAGCGGUGAAAUGCGUAGAUAUCAGGAGGAACACCUGUGGCGAAAGCGGCUCACUGGACCAUAACUGACGCUGAUGCACGAAAGCUAGGGGAGCAAACAGG